GACGAACGCUGGCGGCGUGCUUAACACAUGCAAGUCGAACGGUGAAGCGCCUUCCUUUUUGGUGGGUGUGGAUGAGUGGCGAACGGGUGAGUAACACGUGAGUAACCUGCCCCCUUCUUCUGGAUAACCGCAUGAAAGUGUGGCUAAUACGGGAUAUUCUGGUUCUGUCGCAUGAUGGGUCUGGGAAAGAUGUUGUUUCGGUGGGGGAUGGGCUCGCGGCCUAUCAGCUGGUUGGUGGGGUGAUGGCCUACCAAGGCGGUGACGGGUAGCCGGCCUGGGAGGGUGGACGGUCACACUGGGACAGAGACACGGCCGAGACUGCUACGGGGGGCAGCAGUGGGGAAUAUGGCACAGUGGGCGCAAGCCUGAUGCAGCGACGCCGCGUGAGGGAUGGAGGCCUGCGGGUUGUGAACCUCUUUCGCCAGUGAAGCAGGCCUGCCUCGUUUGUGGGUGGGUUGACGGUAGCUGGAUAAGAAGCGCCGGCUAACUACGUG
Molecule: ribosomal RNA, 494 nt
Filed under: uncultured bacterium
Lineage: Bacteria
Description: partial 16S ribosomal RNA
Rfam family: Bacterial small subunit ribosomal RNA
Source: RNAcentral